This 468-nucleotide ribosomal RNA is filed under the name uncultured bacterium. Its description in RNAcentral is "partial 16S ribosomal RNA". It matches the Rfam family "Bacterial small subunit ribosomal RNA", at positions 28 to 507 of the family's 1533-position model. The record is from RNAcentral.
GACGAACGCUGGCGGCGUGCUUAACACAUGCAAGUCGAACGGAAAGGCCCUGCUUUUGUGGGGUGCUCGAGUGGCGAACGGGUGAGUAACACGUGAGUAACCUGCCCUUGACUUUGGGAUAACUUCAGGAAACUGGGGCUAAUACCGGAUAGGAGCUCCUGCUGCACGGUGGGGGUUGGAAAGUUUCGGCGGUUGGGGAUGGACUCGCGGCUUAUCCGCUUGUUGGUGGGGUAGUGGCUUACCAAGGCUUUGACGGGUAGCCGGCCUGAGAGGGUGACCGGCCACAUUGGGACUGAGGUACGGCCCAGACUCCUACGGGAGGCAGCAGUGGGGAGUAUUGCACAAUGGGCGGAAGCCUGAUGCAGCAACGCCGCGUGCGGGAUGACGGCCUUCGGGUUGUAAACCGCUUUCGCCUGUGACGAAGCGUGAGUGACGGUAAUGGGUAAAGAAGCACCGGCUAACUACGUG